Molecule: ribosomal RNA, 370 nt
Filed under: uncultured Prevotella sp.
Lineage: Bacteria; Pseudomonadati; Bacteroidota; Bacteroidia; Bacteroidales; Prevotellaceae
Description: bacterial SSU rRNA
Rfam family: Bacterial small subunit ribosomal RNA
Source: RNAcentral
AACCGCUUUUAUCAGUGAAUAAAGUGCACCACGUGUGGUGUCAUUGCAGGUAGCUGAAGAAAAAGGACCGGCUAAUUCCGUGCCAGCAGCCGCGGUAAUACGGAAGGUCCGGGCGUUAUCCGGAAUUAUUGGGUUUAAAGGAAGCGCAGGCGGGAGUGUAAGUCAGCUGUUAAAUAUCAGGGCCCAACUCUGUUAUGCAGUUGAAACUAUAUUUCUUGAGUACGCACAGGGAUGGCGGAAUUCAGGGUGUAGCGGUGAAAUGCUUAGAUAUCCUGAAGAACUCCGAUCGCGAAGGCAGCCAUCCGGAGCGUAACUGACGCUGAGGCUCGAAGGUGCGGGUAUCGAACAGGAUUAGAUACCCUGGUAGUCC